RNAcentral lists this small RNA (758 nucleotides) under Arabidopsis thaliana (thale cress). RNAcentral's name for it is "ATSL107130". Lineage: Eukaryota; Viridiplantae; Streptophyta; Magnoliopsida; Brassicales; Brassicaceae. The record is from RNAcentral.
AAAAAAAGAGUAGUAGAAAAAGAAUGGUUUUCUCUCUCUUCUCUCUCCUCAUCUUUCAGAGAGAGCAAAGCAGCUUCAAUUUUUUUGACCGACAAUGACUGGCUUUAUCAGCGGUGUUUGGUCGGCUUCUCCUCCGGCAUCGCUGGCUUCCUUAGAAGCGUUGACUGGCUCAGCUUCCGGCAUCGACCGACUACUUUUAGCGGUGGUGGCUGGCUUAUCUCCCGAGAGCAAGAUAUUCUCUUUCUUGUUUCGUCGGGCUUUUUUCUGGCGUCUUUUGCCGGCUUUCUCUCCGGUUUCUUGACCGGAUUUAGAUUUGUUCUGUUUUUUUUCUUCUGCCUGCAGUUCAAAGAUUGAUGAACCCUAAAAGUUAAAAAGAUGUUGAAAGAAGAAGAAGAAGAAGAAUUGCACUUAGUGGAGUCAAAUUCUCAUCCAAGCUACAAUUAGAAUUUUGCCAUUAAUCCUUUGGGCGACGAGUGAGCUAUGCCAAUUGAACAAGUUUUCUGGUGUUUCGGCCGGAAUUGAAGCUUCUGACGUCGACUCCCUUUUCUUCCAGUUUCUACGUGUAUUUCAAACAUGUUUUCCACUGACACGUGUUUUCUAUGCGGCGCACAACAAUCUUUUGUUCUCUUCCUUAAGUUUAGGUUUAUUCAUUUGGGCUUUUGGAUUGUUGUUGUGUUUUGGGCUCGUUUAUUUUAGUCUUUAUGAAUUAUUGGUAUGUUACUUUUGGCUCUAUAAUAUCAAUAAAACACUAUUGUGAC